CGGGCCUCUUGCCAUCGGAUGUGCCCAGAUGGGAUUAGCUAGUAGGUGGGGUAACGGCUCACCUAGGCGACGAUCCCUAGCUGGUCUGAGAGGAUGACCAGCCACACUGGAACUGAGACACGGUCCAGACUCCUACGGGAGGCAGCAGUGGGGAAUAUUGCACAAUGGGCGCAAGCCUGAUGCAGCCAUGCCGCGUGUAUGAAGAAGGCCUUCGGGUUGUAAAG
This 224-nucleotide ribosomal RNA is filed under the name Enterobacter hormaechei. RNAcentral's name for it is "partial 16S ribosomal RNA". It matches the Rfam family "Bacterial small subunit ribosomal RNA", at positions 207 to 430 of the family's 1533-position model. The record is from RNAcentral. Lineage: Bacteria; Pseudomonadati; Pseudomonadota; Gammaproteobacteria; Enterobacterales; Enterobacteriaceae.